GUGGGUGCAGCUCAGUGGUAAAGCACUUGCCACAAAUGCAUGAGGCCCUGGGUUUGAUUCCCAGAACCACA
This 71-nucleotide transfer RNA is filed under the name Cavia porcellus (domestic guinea pig). It matches the Rfam family "tRNA". From Rfam's summary of the family: Transfer RNA (tRNA) molecules are approximately 80 nucleotides in length. The record is from Rfam by way of RNAcentral. Lineage: Eukaryota; Metazoa; Chordata; Mammalia; Rodentia; Caviidae.